GUGAGGGGCGCAGCGGGAGAACAGAGCGCGGGGAGGACGCGGCGGAGCGGAGCGGAGCGCGGGCCAGCGCAGCGCGGUCACCCGGGCCGGGUGGGGAGGCGCGGAGCGGGCCGGGCGCAGCGGCGGCAGGUGAAGGCGCCCGAGUCCGCUAGGCGGGUGCGGCGGGCGGAGGCCGCGGUCUGGGUGCCGAGGCGCCCGCAACCGGGCCCUCGGGGGUGCGCGCUUAGCCGCGGCUCCUCCGCCUUCUCCCUUGCUGCGGCCGGCGCCGUGGACUCGGUGGGGUUUGUCUUCCUUUGGGGGAGUGACGCUGACGAGAGCCAUUUCCUCCGCGCUCGCAGGAAGGAGCCAUGGCUCUGGACGGGAUAAGGAUGCCAGAUGGCUGCUACGCGGACGGGACGUGGGAACUGAGCGUCCAUGUCACCGACCUGAACCGUGAUGUCACCCUCAGAGUGACCGGGGAGGUGCACAUCGGAGGGGUGAUGCUGAAGUUGGUGGAAAAACUCGAUGUCAAAAAAGAUUGGUCUGACCAUGCUCUCUGGUGGGAAAAGAAGAAAACUUGGCUGCUUAAGACACACUGGACCUUGGAUAAGUAUGGCAUCCAGGCAGACGCCAAGCUUCAGUUCACCCCACAGCACAAACUGCUCCGCCUGCAGCUUCCCAACAUGAAAUAUGUGAAGGUGAAAGUGAACUUCUCUGACCGAGUCUUCAAAGCUGUGUCGGACAUCUGCAAGACUUUCA
Molecule: long non-coding RNA, 738 nt
Filed under: Rattus norvegicus (Norway rat)
Lineage: Eukaryota; Metazoa; Chordata; Mammalia; Rodentia; Muridae
Description: long non-coding RNA NONRATT010793
Source: RNAcentral